GCCUUCCGAGGCAUGUGCACGCCCUACUCAAUCCACUCUACACCUGUGCACUUACUGUGGGUUUUCGGUUCGUGGAGAGGGUCCCUUUAGUUAGGGCUCAUGAAGCGUCCGUAAGCCUGCGUUUACUACAAACCCUUUGAAGUAUAAGAAUGUGUAUCGCGCUGUAAACGCACCUAUGUACAACUUUCAGCAACGGAUCUCUUGGCUCUCGCAUCGAUGAAGAACGCAGCGAAAUGCGAUAAGUAAUGUGAAUUGCAGAAUUCAGUGAAUCAUCGAAUCUUUGAACGCACCUUGCGCUCCUUGGUAUUCCGAGGAGCAUGCCUGUUUGAGUGUCAUGAAAUCAUCAACCUACAAGGCUUAUGCAGUUUUGUAGGCUUGGAAUUGGAGGGUUGUCGGCGGCAUGAAUGAAUGAAGUCGGCUCCUCUUAAAUGCAUUAGCCUUGGUUCUUUGCGGAUCGGGUUUCGGUGUGAUAAUUGUCUACGCCGUUGACCGUUGAAGCGUACUGGCCGGCUUCUAAUCGUCUUGGAAAGAGACAACGUUUAUUGACAUCUGACCUCAAAUCAGGUAGGACUACCCGCUGAACUUAAGCAUAUCAAUAA
Molecule: ribosomal RNA, 599 nt
Filed under: Furtadoella brasiliensis
Lineage: Eukaryota; Fungi; Basidiomycota; Agaricomycetes; Polyporales; Polyporaceae
Description: eukaryotic LSU rRNA
Rfam family: 5.8S ribosomal RNA (bases 182-335)
Source: RNAcentral